UACGUAGGGGGCAAGCGUUGUCCGGAAUUAUUGGGCGUAAAGCGCGCGUAGGUGGCCCGGUAAGUCCGCUCUGAAAGUCACAGGCUCAACCUGUGAAAGCGGGUGGAUACUGCCGGGCUAGAGUCCGGAAGAGGCGAGUGGAAUUCCUGGUGUAGCGGUGGAAUGCGCAGAUAUCAGGAGGAACACCAACGGCGAAGGCAGCUCGCUGGGACGGUACUGACACUGAGGCGCGAAAGCGUGGGGAGCGAACAGG
RNAcentral lists this ribosomal RNA (253 nucleotides) under uncultured bacterium. Its description in RNAcentral is "partial 16S ribosomal RNA". It matches the Rfam family "Bacterial small subunit ribosomal RNA", at positions 524 to 776 of the family's 1533-position model. The record is from RNAcentral.